AGAGUUUGAUCAUGGCUCAGAUUGAACGCUGGCGGCAGGCCUAACACAUGCAAGUCGAACGGUAACAGGAAGCAGCUUGCUGCUUUGCUGACGAGUGGCGGACGGGUGAGUAAUGUCUGGGAAACUGCCUGAUGGAGGGGGAUAACUACUGGAAACGGUAGCUAAUACCGCAUAACGUCGCAAGACCAAAGAGGGGGACCUUAGGGCCUCUUGCCAUCGGAUGUGCCCAGAUGGGAUUAGCUAGUAGGUGGGGUAAAGGCUCACCUAGGCGACGAUCCCUAGCUGGUCUGAGAGGAUGACCAGCCACACUGGAACUGAGACACGGUCCAGACUCCUACGGGAGGCAGCAGUGGGGAAUAUUGCACAAUGGGCGCAAGCCUGAUGCAGCCAUGCCGCGUGUAUGAAGAAGGCCUUCGGGUUGUAAAGUACUUUCAGCGGGGAGGAAGGGAGUAAAGUUAAUACCUUUGCUCAUUGACGUUACCCGCAGAAGAAGCACCGGCUAACUCCGUGCCAGCAGCCGCGGUAAUACGGAGGGUGCAAGCGUUAAUCGGAAUUACUGGGCGUAAAGCGCACGCAGGCGGUUUGUUAAGUCAGAUGUGAAAUCCCCGGGCUCAACCUGGGAACUGCAUCUGAUACUGGCAAGCUUGAGUCUCGUAGAGGGGGGUAGAAUUCCAGGUGUAGCGGUGAAAUGCGUAGAGAUCUGGAGGAAUACCGGUGGCGAAGGCGGCCCCCUGGACGAAGACUGACGCUCAGGUGCGAAAGCGUGGGGAGCAAACAGGAUUAGAUACCCUGGUAGUCCACGCCGUAAACGAUGUCGACUUGGAGGUUGUGCCCUUGAGGCGUGGCUUCCGGAGCUAACGCGUUAAGUCGACCGCCUGGGGAGUACGGCCGCAAGGUUAAAACUCAAAUGAAUUGACGGGGGCCCGCACAAGCGGUGGAGCAUGUGGUUUAAUUCGAUGCAACGCGAAGAACCUUACCUGGUCUUGACAUCCACGGAAGUUUUCAGAGAUGAGAAUGUGCCUUCGGGAACCGUGAGACAGGUGCUGCAUGGCUGUCGUCAGCUCGUGUUGUGAAAUGUUGGGUUAAGUCCCGCAACGAGCGCAACCCUUAUCCUUUGUUGCCAGCGGUCCGGCCGGGAACUCAAAGGAGACUGCCAGUGAUAAACUGGAGGAAGGUGGGGAUGACGUCAAGUCAUCAUGGCCCUUACGACCAGGGCUACACACGUGCUACAAUGGCGCAUACAAAGAGAAGCGACCUCGCGAGAGCAAGCGGACCUCAUAAAGUGCGUCGUAGUCCGGAUUGGAGUCUGCAACUCGACUCCAUGAAGUCGGAAUCGCUAGUAAUCGUGGAUCAGAAUGCCACGGUGAAUACGUUCCCGGGCCUUGUACACACCGCCCGUCACACCAUGGGAGUGGGUUGCAAAAGAAGUAGGUAGCUUAACCUUCGGGAGGGCGCUUACCACUUUGUGAUUCAUGACUGGGGUGAAGUCGUAACAAGGUAACCGUAGGGGAACCUGCGGUUGGAUCACCU
This 1530-nucleotide ribosomal RNA is filed under the name Escherichia coli. RNAcentral describes it as "bacterial SSU rRNA". It matches the Rfam family "Bacterial small subunit ribosomal RNA". The record is from RNAcentral. Lineage: Bacteria; Pseudomonadati; Pseudomonadota; Gammaproteobacteria; Enterobacterales; Enterobacteriaceae. RNAcentral also lists the same sequence under 10 other names.